RNAcentral lists this ribosomal RNA (429 nucleotides) under Chloroflexota bacterium. RNAcentral's name for it is "Chloroflexi bacterium partial 16S ribosomal RNA". It matches the Rfam family "Bacterial small subunit ribosomal RNA", at positions 355 to 776 of the family's 1533-position model. The record is from RNAcentral. Lineage: Bacteria; Bacillati; Chloroflexota.
UGGGGAAUAUUGCACAAUGGGCGCAAGCCUGAUGCAGCCAUGCCGCGUGUAUGAAGAAGUCCUUCGGGUUGUAAAGUACUUUCAGUCGGGAGGAAGGUGGUAAGGUUAAUAACCUUAUCAAUUGACGUUACCGACAGAAGAAGCACCGGCUAACUCCGUGCCAGCAGCCGCGGUAAUACGGAGGGUGCAAGCGUUAAUCGGAAUUACUGGGCGUAAAGCGCACGCAGGCGGUUGAUUGAGUCAGAUGUGAAAUCCCCGGGCUUAACCCGGGAAUUGCAUCUGAUACUGGGCAGAUAGAGGCUUGUAGAGGGGGGUAGAAUUCCAUGUGUAGCGGUGAAAUGCGUAGAGAUGUGGAAGAAUACCGGUGGCGAAGGCGGCCCCCUGGACAAAGACUGACGCUCAGGUGCGAAAGCGGGGGGAGCAAACAGG